AUAGAGGCUGUGGUGAGCUGUGCGCUGUGGAAGGCAUGAAGGCUGGGUGACGGGAAGCGGUGUGGCCCCUGUGGGCACGGAGGUCCAGAGCCUCUGGGCGCUGAGAAGGUCCUAGAAGCAAACAGACCCAGUAAUCAAUCCCAGCUGCCGUGCGAUGUCCUGUCUCUUUUGUCACGUGUGAUGCCAACAGCAGGGAAGAAGUUUUUCCACUGCAAAGGUGAUGAAUGUGUGAGAUUUUCAAACCCACGGGAGUUACCAGAAUGGAUUCCCUUCAGGUUCUGCCGGGGGUGGGGAGUCGGAGCAAGUGAGACAUAUUUCUACCGCUUCAAGCCUGCACGGUGCCUACAACAACGUUGCCGUUGUGGUGACGACUUAACCCUACUCGAGCGCUGAGAACCCUGGGAUCCGGGCAAGUUGGCAAAGCCGACGCAGGAGGACCGCCUGCUCCCUGCUUUAGGCUCCUGGUUUCCUGCACUUCGUCCUCCCUCAAUGGCAAGGGAUGGAGAGAGCUCGCAGGCUCCAGCCCAGCGGAACGAAUGGCUGGCCUUGGGAAAAGCCUCCCUUUCACAGACACUUGGAGCUAGCUUGCACUCACGGCCACAGGGUUCCAGCCAAAGGAAGCAGAAAACUUUGCGGGCUUUCUGUGUCACCUCUGGAUGGAACAGAAGAGCCUAAGACAUUGCUCUGCUGUUUGGACCUGGGGCAGCCAGUGGCCAGCACUAAGUCAGGGGCCAUGUGCUCAAGCCACCAAGAUGCCUGGGACCGCGGAGACAGAGGUCAGACUGGCAGAGGCUUCACCUGGAAACCUUUAGGUUUUGAUUUAAAAACCUCCAUUUAUGGGGCGCCUGCAGGCCAGGCACUGUGCUAGGGCUUUGCAUAUAUUAUAUCUAAUCUUUCCAGCUACCUUGCACAGUAGCUGUCACUACCCUCAUUUUAGAAGUGAGGAAGUAAAGGUGCUGGCUAUGAGCUUUUUCAUGGCUCUUGGCCCUGCCAAUAGAGCCUGGUCGGAAGCGUCCUAGUUUGGUGAAGAAUCCAAAAUGGAAGGGAUAUUUGAGGUCAUGUCUACCUUCUGAGGAUAAUGAUGAAAAGAGAUCCAAAGCCAGAAAUGUAAAUUAUUCUGCUCAAGGACACACAGCCGAGCUGUGUCUUCAAGUCUGUCCCUUCUUUCCCAUGUAACAGCAGGAGAACA
Long non-coding RNA from Herpailurus yagouaroundi (jaguarundi), 1189 nucleotides. RefSeq lists it as uncharacterized. The record is from RefSeq and is a predicted model, not a curated record. NCBI's taxonomy places the organism in Eukaryota, Metazoa, Chordata, Mammalia, Carnivora, Felidae. The transcript is spliced from 3 exons.